UACGAAGGGGGCUAGCGUUGCUCGGAAUGACUGGGCGUAAAGCGCGCGUAGGCGGCUUUGUAAGUUAGAGGUGAAAGCCCGGAGCUCAACUCCGGAAUUGCCUUUAAGACUGCAUCGCUUGAAUCAUGGAGAGGUGAGUGGAAUUCCGAGUGUAGAGGUGAAAUUCGUAGAUAUUCGGAAGAACACCAGUGGCGAAGGCGACUCACUGGACAUGUAUUGACGCUGAGGUGCGAAAGCGUGGGGAGCAAACAGG
Molecule: ribosomal RNA, 253 nt
Filed under: uncultured bacterium
Lineage: Bacteria
Description: partial 16S ribosomal RNA
Rfam family: Bacterial small subunit ribosomal RNA
Source: RNAcentral